This 100-nucleotide non-coding RNA is filed under the name Yersinia mollaretii. Its description in RNAcentral is "Yersinia sRNA 224". It matches the Rfam family "Yersinia sRNA 224". The record is from RNAcentral. Lineage: Bacteria; Pseudomonadati; Pseudomonadota; Gammaproteobacteria; Enterobacterales; Yersiniaceae.
AGGUUAUUGACAAAGUGCUAGUAGCGGAGAGAACAGGCAGAUCGUAAAGACGCCGUAAAUCCCUCCCUGGAGGCUCGAGCCGCGCCAUCCCUGGCGCGGA